GGAAGGGGUGUAUUUAUUAGAUAAAAAACCAAUGCCCUUCGGGGCUUCUUGGUGAUUCAUGAUAACUAAACGGAUCGCAUGGCCUUGCGCCGGCGACGGUUCAUUCAAAUUUCUGCCCUAUCAACUUUCGAUGGUAAGGUAUUGGCUUACCAUGGUUUCAACGGGUAACGGGGAAUUAGGGUUCGAUUCCGGAGAGGGAGCCUGAGAAACGGCUACCACAUCCAAGGAAGGCAGCAGGCGCGCAAAUUACCCAAUCCCGACACGGGGAGGUAGUGACAAUAAAUACUGAUACAGGGCUCUUUUGGGUCUUGUAAUUGGAAUGAGUACAAUUUAAACCUCUUAACGAGGAACAAUUGGAGGGCAAGUCUGGUGCCAGCAGCCGCGGUAAUUCCAGCUCCAAUAACCUAUAUUAAAGUUGUUGCAAAUAAAAAGCACCUAAUUGAACCAUGGGAUUGGGUGAGUAGGCUCCCUCCUCGCAUGGUACUUGUCCGGCCAGGCCUUUCUUUCUGGAGAACAUCAGGCCUUUACUGGGUGUGCUGGGGAACCAGGACUUUUAC
This 557-nucleotide ribosomal RNA is filed under the name uncultured Ascomycota. RNAcentral's name for it is "SSU rRNA". It matches the Rfam family "Eukaryotic small subunit ribosomal RNA", at positions 194 to 755 of the family's 1831-position model. The record is from RNAcentral. Lineage: Eukaryota; Fungi; Ascomycota.